Molecule: ribosomal RNA, 459 nt
Filed under: uncultured bacterium
Lineage: Bacteria
Description: partial 16S ribosomal RNA
Rfam family: Bacterial small subunit ribosomal RNA
Source: RNAcentral
CCUACGGGUGGCAGCAGUGAGGAAUAUUGGUCAAUGGUCGAGAGACUGAACCAGCCAAGCCGCGUGAGGGAUGACUGUCCAACGUAUCGUAACCCUCUUUUGUCACGGAACAAAGGCGGGGACGUGUCCCCGGAUGAGUGUACCUGAAGAAAAAGCAUCGGCUACCUCCGUGCCAGCAGCCGCGGUAAUACGGAGGAUGCGAGCGUUAUCCGGAUGUAUUGGGUUUAAAGGGUUCGCAUGCGGACUGUUAAGUCAGCGGUAAAAGGCAGGGGCUCAACCCCGUCCCGCCGUUGAAACUGGGAGUCUCGAGUUGGAGAGAAGUACGCGGAAUGCGUGGUGUAGCGGUGAAAUGCAUAGAUAUCGCGCAGAACUCCGAUUGCGAAGGCAGCAUGCCGGCUCCACACUGACGCUGAGGCACGAAAGCGUGGGUAUCGAACAGGAUUAGAUACCCGAGUAGUC